Amphiprion ocellaris (clown anemonefish) is the source of this 668-nucleotide long non-coding RNA. The record is from Ensembl. Lineage: Eukaryota; Metazoa; Chordata; Actinopteri; Pomacentridae.
GUACGUACAACACACACUGUCAACAGUAAAACCUUUCUCCUUUAACCUCAGAGCAGGUCUUCAUCCUGGAUGUUCAGGUCAUUAAAGGUCCAUGAGUUCUACCUUCAUACUGGGAAUAUUUCCAGAGUUCCAGGUUCUUGAAGUCCAUAGAGGAGAACGUCCCCUGGAGAAAGUUCUAGAGUAGACCGACUGACAACUAGACAGUUGUAGGCAGGUCUACUCUAGAACUUUCUCUAGAUGUCAGUAGGUCUACUCUAGAACUUUCUCCAGUUGUCAGUAGGUCUACUCUAGAACUUUCUCCAGUUGUCAGUAGGUCUACUCUAAAACUUUCUCCAGUUGUAGGCAGGUCUACUCUAGAACUUUCUCCAGUUGUAGGCAGGUCUACUCUAGAACUUUCUCCAGAUGUCGGUAGGUCUAUUCUAGAACUUUCUCCAGUUGUCAGUAGAUCUACUCUAGAACUUUCUCCAGUUGUCAGUAGAUCUACUCUAGAACUUUCUGCAGUUGUCAGUAGGUCUACUCUAGAACUUUCUGCAGUUGUCGAUAGGUCUAUUCUAGAACUUUCUCCAGUUGUCAGUAGAUCUACUCUAGAACUUUCUCCAGUUGUCAGUAGAUCUACUCUAGAACUUUCUGCAGUUGUCAGUAGGUCUACUCUAGAACUUUCUCCAGUU